This 402-nucleotide ribosomal RNA is filed under the name uncultured eukaryote. RNAcentral's name for it is "SSU rRNA". It matches the Rfam family "Eukaryotic small subunit ribosomal RNA", at positions 567 to 972 of the family's 1831-position model. The record is from RNAcentral.
CCAGCAGCUGCGGUAAUUCCAGCUCCAAUAGCGUAUAUUAAAGUUGUUGCAGUUAAAAAGCUCGUAGUUGGAUUUCUGGCAGGAGCGUCCGGUCUCACACUCUGUGCGGGAACUUGGAUGUCUCUGGCCAUCUUUGGGGAUAUCCUGUUUGGCAUUAAGUUGUCGGGCAGGGGAUACCCAUCGUUUACUGUGAAAAAAUUAGAGUGUUUAAAGCAGGCUUAUGCCGUUGAAUAUAUUAGCAUGGAAUAAUAAGAUAUGACCUCGGUCUAUUUUGUUGGUUUGUAUUCCAAGGUAAUGAUUAAUAGGGACAGUUGGGGGUAUUCGUAUUCAAUUGUCAGAGGUGAAAUUCUUGGAUUUAUGGAAGACGAACUACUGCGAAAGCAUUUACCAAGGAUGUUUUCA